CACCCUUGCACAUAGGGCAGACUGCAUGAUGCCCGAUUGCCAGGUCAAGAGAGUAGCACAGUUUAUUUUCAUGCAUUUCUCGGCAUUCUCAUGACUGUGGGUGCCAUUCAGUCUUCGAUAGCAUUACUGCACUGCUCAGACCCUGGCAAAAGCUAUCUCAAGAAAUAAAGUAGGUUUAAUAUGGAAGAAAUAAUGGUUCAGGAUUGUUAGGUUAAUGUGAAGCUGCCUUGCUAUCGCUCGGGUGAGAAUGCAUCCUCCAGGCAUCUAGAGAUGUCACUAUUUAUGCUUACUGCUGUUCACCGUUUACCUUUCAAUAUCUUUGUGCUGGUUUGUGUUUUUUUUUUUUAUUUGAAACGCGUAGCACCUUCAAGGUUUCCCGUUUAACUUGGUGGCUGGCCCUUGACAGUAAUUAUUUGUUUUGGCUGUGGGGCUUGAGAACCCCAUGACACUUAUUCUUUAGAGUACCGUUUGUUUACCUUCAAUAAACUUGAGUUGGUACUCAGUGCCAUAGGGUCCCAUUGGACCACGAACAUCCUCUGGACAUCCCGAUUAGAUCCGAACGUCCAAGUCCCGCUCAGGACGUCCAGAGGGUACCAUGUGGACAUUAAAUUCGGGAUGUCCUAUUUAAGACAUCCUUCAGACAUCCACACGAUUGAACUUCUGGGAUCUAAACAAAAUCCCAAAACUUUUCUCCUAUGGAUGUCCGAAGGAUGUUUUCAACGGGAUGUCCCAUACCGGCCAUAUGUGGGACCAACACACACAGUCCUACACGUACUACGUGAUCAUAUCGCGGCAUAUUAAAUCUCUACCACGGCUGCCUUCAGCGCACGCUCCUCCGUAAAGACAUGUCUGCCAGCAAUGUGAAGUUGCUGCACUCAUAAUCAAACUUCCAAUGCAGACGAUAAACGGAGAAGUUGAAAUGAACGACCGAAACUGCACAAGCAUAUUGGGAGGAAACGUCACAAAGAGACAGGCAGAACGCCGGAACAACUGCGCAUUACCACCUAUGCAAGGCGUAACCGAAUCAAUCGUGCUCUAUGCUCCUACCAUCUCCUGCGCUCUCCGAACAUGUCGAGAAAGAAGAGUACGGCAACCUCUACAACACCUGCAACCCCUGCCGUUGUACAGAGCAGUGACUGCCUUUACCCAGUCGAAUCACCACUGGCUGUUGCAUUCACACGCACGCUUUGUGCUGAUUUGCGCGUAGUCAGUCACAUGAUGUAACGACGCCGUCUUAUGGAUCUCUUCGCCCUUCUGCGUAAGCUCGGAAUGCCAACGCCUGAAGGUUGCUGGGUUGGUGUGCUCUGCACUCUCACAAGCUCAGUUCGCGCGUUUUCUCUGGACGUGGUGGUUGAAUCGUUGUGCCAUGUGCUCAUGAGUUACAGGUUACAGGGUGAGUGUUGGUCAGCUCCAGGCGAACGUUUUUGUCAUGCGCUUUGGAGCUCCAUUUCUGCGGCACCUGUACGUCUUACGCCUAUCAAGAGUCAUGCUGUGUUCCUGCCAUCAGCCUGGUGUCACUUUGGGUUGACAUCCUUCUUUGUUGAGGAUCAGCACAGAAACAAGCCCGCGGAAAUCUGCUUUCUUAGUACCUCUGAUCUCAACAGUGUAUUUCGUGUCUGCGACCACUGGAACCGAUCCUUCAGGAUGACUAGUAAAUUGUGUAGCGUACCCGUGACCUCUUCUGUUCUGCAUCUGAAACUAUGGACGAAAGGCUUCACCCAGCGUGUGGCGACUUCCUUAUGGGCCGAUGUACCUGUGAACUCUGUUAAUUUUGGUCUCUGGGACUGGUCAAGCAAGUCCACAGAAAUGCCCCACUAAAUUUUGUAGUACACGUGAACUGCAAUUGUAGUCGUCUUCGACCGCUGAGCCAGCCUGCAGUGAGCCUUAAUGAAAUGUUUAGUCGCCAAGAUACCUGUGAUAUUUUCAGAAGUAUUUGUAACUGCUGCCAUUGAAGAACAGUCAUGCUCUGCCUCUGGUAACUUACAUCGAGGCUGUCUGAUUCCCGUGAAUUUUUAGGAUGAAAUUGUGUUUAUGUGUGGCUGCUGAAGCAAGCCCACACAAAUCCUCUAUUAGCUUUUCAUAUGGGUGAACUCAUAUAAUGCAUUUUUCUGUCUAUGACUGCUGAAGCGAGCAUGCUGCAAGCUUUUAGUUAAUUGUGUAGUCGCCAAGGUACCUGUGACGGUUCAGCAAUAUUUGGCUGUGACCACGGAAAGGUCGCAUUCUGCUUCUGUUGACUUGCUUAGAGGCCUUCAAGCCUAUGAACACUUAUGAUGAAUUUGUGUUUGUGACCACUCAAGUGCAGCGAGUGUCUUGUAACUCUAGUACUUGUGACAUCAGUUUGGUAUUGUGUUGAAGCAAGUGUCUUGUAACUGCCUUUGUAUCUAAACUCUCCAGUAAUGUUCGUGUUUGCAACUACUUAAGUGAUCCUUUAGUAAUUUUUUUAUGCCCAUUGUGUCUAUAAAAUAUUUAGUACUUUUACUGUGUGCAAACGCUGAAGGAGGCCUGCAGAAAGUGGAGUAGCUUCCGUCAUGGCUAAGACACCUCUGAACUUUCCAGCAAAUAUUGCAUUUAUGUGCCCGCGACCGUUGAAGUGAGCCAGCCCACAGUAGCCCUCCUACUAACUUCCUUUGUACCCCCCUACCCCCCCCCCCCCACCCUUGCAUAGGGCUUUUAAUGUUCUUUUACUGGCCGAGGUGCAUCUGCGUAUUAUUAGCUCAACUAAAAUGGUCUUAUCACUGCACACGAAAGUGUCGAUGUUUGCUCUGGUGACCUUUGCCAGAAUUUGUUAUGGAUGCACAGUGCAUUUGCUCUACACUCUAAGAACAGUUGCACCCUUUGGGGUGCAAUUUUGCCACAGAACGAUAAUUGUCAUCUGUCUUGCUUGUGUUUCUUUUCUUGAAAACCCUGCGCUCGUUACUUUCCUGUCGAGAAUGCUCUGUCAUGCUGAUAAUGCGCAUGCCAUUCGUGACAUGGAAGUACCAGGCUUGCAGCGUUAAAGAAAGGAAAUGUGGGCAAGACGGAUGACAAUUAUUGUUCUGUGGCAAAUAUACACCCCAAAGGGUGCAACUAUUUUUAGAGUGUAAAUGGAUGAUUAUACAGCAGCUGUUUGUCUAUAUAUGACCACUGAACUAGCCUCGAGUAAUUUUGUUAAUGCCUAAUGUAGUUGUGACAUCUUAAUUUAGCAUAACUCGUGUUCGUGUAUGUAACUACUGAAUAUGGCCUAGGGAAAGGCUGUGGCAACUUAAAGUGGCUAACAUAUCUAAACUUUUCAGCAAAUUUUGCAUUGAUGUGCCUGCUACCACAGAAGUGAGCCCACUGCAAGCCUCGUGAUAAGUUCCAUAGUGGGCCCACUGCGAAUUCUGAAAUUUUCUUGCUACCCAAAGUGCAUUUGUAAAGAGUUUGAUUAAUGUACACUUUUACUAACCAUGGUGCGGUAUAAAUAACUCCAAUAAAAUAUCGACUUUUAUUUGUUUGCAUUCCUGGGUUUUACUGAAAACUGCCGAGUGCAUUUUAGAGUUCAACGAGUGAUCUUCCUGCAACUGUUUUAUUGAAAUAAAUGCUGUAUUUUUGAUGAGA
This is a long non-coding RNA of Dermacentor andersoni, 3576 nucleotides long. RefSeq lists it as uncharacterized. The record is from RefSeq and is a predicted model, not a curated record. Lineage: Eukaryota; Metazoa; Arthropoda; Arachnida; Ixodida; Ixodidae.